RNAcentral lists this ribosomal RNA (909 nucleotides) under Tetraploa sp. RNAcentral describes it as "SSU rRNA". It matches the Rfam family "Eukaryotic small subunit ribosomal RNA", at positions 88 to 1002 of the family's 1831-position model. The record is from RNAcentral. Lineage: Eukaryota; Fungi; Ascomycota; Dothideomycetes; Pleosporales; Tetraplosphaeriaceae.
UGCGAAUGGCUCAUUAAAUCAGUUAUCGUUUAUUUGAUAGUACCUACCAACUACAUGGAUAACCGUGGUAAUUCUAGAGCUAAUACAUGCUAAAAACCCCAACUUCGGGAGGGGUGUAUUUAUUAGAUAAAAAACCAAUGCCCCUCGGGGCUUCUUGGUGAUUCAUGAUAACUUAACGGAUCGCAUGGCCUUGCGCCGGCGACGGUUCAUUCAAAUUUCUGCCCUAUCAACUUUCGAUGGUAAGGUAUUGGCUUACCAUGGUUUCAACGGGUAACGGGGAAUUAGGGUUCGAUUCCGGAGAGGGAGCCUGAGAAACGGCUACCACAUCCAAGGAAGGCAGCAGGCGCGCAAAUUACCCAAUCCCGACACGGGGAGGUAGUGACAAUAAAUACUGAUACAGGGCUCUUUUGGGUCUUGUAAUCGGAAUGAGUACAAUUUAAACCCCUUAACGAGGAACAAUUGGAGGGCAAGUCUGGUGCCAGCAGCCGCGGUAAUUCCAGCUCCAAUAGCGUAUAUUAAAGUUGUUGCAGUUAAAAAGCUCGUAGUUGAACCUUGGGCCUGGCUGGCCGGUCCGCCUCACCGCGUGUACUGGUCCGGCCGGGCCUUUCCUUCUGGAGAACCGCAUGCCCUUCACUGGGUGUGUCGGGGAACCAGGACUUUUACUUUGAAAAAAUUAGAGUGUUCAAAGCAGGCCUUUGCUCGAAUACGUUAGCAUGGAAUAAUAGAAUAGGACGUGCGGUCCUAUUUUGUUGGUUUCUAGGACCGCCGUAAUGAUUAAUAGGGAUAGUCGGGGGCAUCAGUAUUCAAUUGUCAGAGGUGAAAUUCUUGGAUUUAUUGAAGACUAACUACUGCGAAAGCAUUUGCCAAGGAUGUUUUCAUUAAUCAGUGAACGAAAGUUAGGGGAUCGAA